CCUACGGGAGGCAGCAGUGAGGAAUAUUGGUCAAUGGCCGGAAGGCUGAACCAGCCAAGCCGCGUGAGGGAAGAAGGCCCCAUGGGUUGUAAACCUCUUUUGUCAAGGAACAAAACCCGGCACGUGUGCCUGACAGCGGGUAACCGAAGAAAAAGCAUCGGCUAACUCCGUGCCAGCAGCCGCGGUAAUACGGAGGAUGCGAGCGUUAUCCGGAUUUAUUGGGGUUAAAGGGUGCGUAGGCGGUCUGUUAAGUCAGCGGUAAAAGUUCGGGGCUCAACCCCGUCGAGCCGUUGAAACUGGCUGUCUUGAGUGGGCGAGAGGUAAGCGGAAUGCGCGGUGUAGCGGUGAAAUGCUUAGAUAUCGCGCAGAACUCCGAUUGCGAAGGCAGCGUACCGGCGCCGGACUGACGCUGAGGCACGAAAGCGCGGGUAUCGAACAGGAUUAGAUACCCGAGUAGUC
This 459-nucleotide ribosomal RNA is filed under the name uncultured bacterium. RNAcentral describes it as "partial 16S ribosomal RNA". It matches the Rfam family "Bacterial small subunit ribosomal RNA", at positions 338 to 795 of the family's 1533-position model. The record is from RNAcentral.